Molecule: ribosomal RNA, 459 nt
Filed under: uncultured bacterium
Lineage: Bacteria
Description: partial 16S ribosomal RNA
Rfam family: Bacterial small subunit ribosomal RNA
Source: RNAcentral
CCUACGGGAUGCAGCAGUGAGGAAUAUUGGUCAAUGGGCGGAAGCCUGAACCAGCCAAGUAGCGUGCGGGAUGAAGGCCCUAUGGGUCGUAAACCGCUUUUGCACGGGGAUAACACCCUCCACUUGUGGAGGUCUGCAGGUACCGUGCGAAUAAGGGCCGGCUAAUUCCGUGCCAGCAGCCGCGGUAAUACGGAAGGCCCGAGCGUUAUCCGGAUUCAUGGGGCUUAAAGGGAGCGUAGGCGGGCGUUCAAGUCAGCGGUCAAAGCCCGGGGCUCAACCCCGGCCCGCCGUUGAAACUGGCAGUCUCGAGUUGGAGAGAAGUAUGCGGAAUGCGCGUUGUAGCGGUGAAAUGCAUAGAUAUCGCGCAGAACUCCGAUUGCGAAGGCAGCAUGCCGGCUCCACACUGACGCUGAGGCACGAAAGCGUGGGUAUCGAACAGGAUUAGAUACCCGAGUAGUC